GCUGAUGCUAUACCGCUGAGACACCAGGGAAGCCCAAGAGAUGAGCUGUAAGUGUCAGCAAAUGGCAGAACAAAAUGACUGGCAGACAAAGAGGUUUGUAUUUAAACAGGGGAUUGACACUGGCUGCUAACUUCACACUUUCCUCUAUUGUCUCUUUAUAUAACACACCUAUUUGAUGAACGGGCAUCUCUAACAAUACUGAAAACAUAGCAGGUGUUCACAGACUACACUAAGCGCAUGACUCAGAGUAUCAGAUUGGUCCAUCUGGGUGGUGCCCAAGGGUUUACCCUGCUCUGCACAUGGAUACAUCUCACGUUUCACGGGUUUCACUCUCUCUAAUCUAGUGAUUAGUAUGGCAUAACUGAAAAUGCUUGGGACAGUGUUCACCAGUUAAAUGGUAUCUUAUUAUUUAAGCCUUGUUCAGAAGCCAGUUCCUCCCCGUCUAAUUGACCUUUCCAGAAACCUGUACACUGUUUAUGCCUAUGGUAACUCAACAGCUUAAAACAUUACAUUCCUGAAGUGGAAUACGUUUGCCUCAAAGAGACACUUGGUAAUAAAAUAAAUGGCCUUACAAUAAAUGUUAAGGAAACACUGAAAUAACUUCAUAAUUCAUCUGCUUUUUAAGAACAGCAAUAGAACCAUGUCAUAGGCAGGACAACUGAAAAUCAAGCAGAUUACAAAAGUUUAUAAAAUCAAAACACACACACACAUACACACACAAACCAAAACACAAUGUUUUUCUCUAACAUCUUUAUAAAACAAUUUGAAUAUAGAAAUAUCCUAAAGAUAGUACCCCCCCCAGAAUAAAACAUCUAAAUGUGGGCUUAAGUCAACCUUUCUGUUAUGUAUUAACUAAAUACAAGUACCAUACAGCAUCUCUUGUGACCCAUCCUGAACCAAUUUGCCUUCCUUGUGUCUCAGAACCUUCACAUGCACUCCACGCAAAAGGUCACUGGCAAAAGGUCACUGGUAAAGUGUUAGGGAAGUACGUGGCAGGAGGCUUACAAGUCUUAAUAAACUCUUGCUGACUCAAUGUACCCUAUGAACAAUACAACAGGUACCCAGAAAUUAUUUUUCUGCUCAUUUUAAGUUCUUAAAAUCACUAACAUUUAUUGAUUAUAGGACUAACUGCAACUUAAAGACUUAUUUAUGAGGAACACUCCUCUCCCUGAACUAAGACUUGGGAGAAUAACUAUCUCCAAGUGGACCUGGGGAUGCUUAUUAAUAUCAAUACCAAUGGAAUAUACAAUUAGUAAAAUGUGAACUCUUGUAUUACUAAUUCACCAAAUGUUCACUAAGUAAGUUCCACGUGCUGGACACCAUUCCUAGGUUUGGGGGAUACAGCCCAAAACAAAACAGACCCUCUAAUGUAAACUUAAGUCUUCAGGUUUCUUGAAGAGGUUACCUGAAAAAUUAACAUAUAUUCACUCAUAUAUAUUUACACUUAUCUGUGUUAAAUUGAGACUACAUCAAUAUGAUUACUAAUCUCAAACACUCAUCAACUGAAAGUUCCUCGUAUGUAUUAGAAAGAGGUACUAGAGAGAUGUUCAAAGAAUUGCAUUUAGACUAUUACUUGAGAAAUACAAUGAUUACCUAACCUAAGAGCUAAUAUCAGAGGAAAGGAGGAGAAGGAGGAGUAUGAAAAAAGGAAAUUAAAAAAAGGAAGAGAGAGAGGGAGGAAAAUUAACAGGGAGAAUAGGAGAUUUAGGACUCUGUUGUGGCUUUUACUGGCUUUAUUUCAAACGCAGAAACUUUUCUUUCUGUUUCCCAGAACCUUUAAGACUAUGCUAUUUUCCUGCUGAAUAAAGUAAAAGAAUAUAGCCAUGAAAAACAUGAAUUGGCUUGAUUAUAAAAAAAACAAAUACCUCUGGUAUGAACUGAAUUGGCUGCCCUCAAAUUUGUAUAAUGAAACCUCAAACCCCAGUGUGACUGGGUGUCUACUUGGAGACAGACCCUAGAAAGAUAUCCUCUGCUGUUCUGCUGGACAACGCCAACGGAGAAGUCUUCGAAGGAAUUUAAAUAAUCCCAGCCUCACUGAAAACAGCAGCACAGAAAUCUUGGCUGACUCUUCUGAAACCAAACAGCGUCUGCUCUACAUGCUGAAGACAAUUUCUGUGGCACUCUCUCUUGUUCGUGUACCAUGUGAGAUUAUAAAAAAUUGUAUUUCUUUAAUGCCAACCUUAAAAUGCAGAGGCGAUGUCAUAUAUCCACAUUUGGCAAUCACUCUGUUAGGACUUCUAUGUUCUCAGUGGCAAGAACUGAUUUGUUAGUUCACAGGGUUACUAGUACUUCCACAGGAUUCACCUUUUCAGAUAAGGAUAGUACCACUUUUAUUUUUCAAUAAAUCUGUAGGAUACUUAUACAUUAAGGACAA
Odocoileus virginianus texanus is the source of this 2374-nucleotide non-coding RNA. NCBI's taxonomy places the organism in Eukaryota, Metazoa, Chordata, Mammalia, Artiodactyla, Cervidae. The record is from RefSeq and is a predicted model, not a curated record.